This 435-nucleotide ribosomal RNA is filed under the name Synchaetomella acerina. Its description in RNAcentral is "eukaryotic LSU rRNA". The stretch from base 103 to 255 matches the Rfam family "5.8S ribosomal RNA". The record is from RNAcentral. Lineage: Eukaryota; Fungi; Ascomycota; Leotiomycetes; Chaetomellales; Chaetomellaceae.
CAUUACUGAAUGCGAAAGCAUUUUCUUGUCGUUUGUCUUGUUGCUUUGGGGAAACCCAAACAUACUCUUACUAUAGUCGUCUGAUAACAACCUAAUAAUCAAAACUUUCAACAACGGAUCUCUUGGUUCUGGCAUCGAUGAAGAACGCAGCGAAAUGCGAUACGUAAUGUGAAUUGCAGACACCGUGAAUCAUCGAAUCUUUGAACGCACAUUGCGCCUGCUGGUAUUCCGGCAGGCAUGCCUGUUCGAGCGUCAUUACACCUUCACAUGGUUUUGGAGAUUCGCCCUGGCGACCUCUUAAAGACAAUGGUGAUAACUAUUCUACACGCAAAGUACUCUCUGCGACGUGGCGAUAGGUGCACACCGAAAACCUCUUGUUUGACCUCGGAUCAGGUAGGGAUACCCGCUGAACUUAAGCAUAUCAAUAAGCGGAGG